GGUUAGAGAGAGAGAGGUUACUUACUACACAGUGUAAUGGGUAAGAGAGAGAGAGGUUACUUACUAGACAGUGUAAUGGGGUAGAGAGAGAGAGGUUACUUACUAGACAGUGUAAUGGGUUAGAGAGAGAGAGAGAGAGGUUACUUACUAGACAGUGUAAUGGGUUAGAGAGAGAGGUUACUUACUAGACAGUGUAAUGGGUUAGAGAGAGAGGUUACUGACUAGACAGUGUAACGGGUUAGAGAGAGAGGUUACUUACUAGACAGUGUAAUGGGUUAGAGAGAGAGAGAGUUUACUUACUAGA
Molecule: long non-coding RNA, 304 nt
Filed under: Salmo salar (Atlantic salmon)
Lineage: Eukaryota; Metazoa; Chordata; Actinopteri; Salmoniformes; Salmonidae
Description: lncRNA (ENSSSAG00000091951.1, ENSSSAG00000097294.1)
Source: RNAcentral